Molecule: ribosomal RNA, 664 nt
Filed under: uncultured archaeon
Lineage: Archaea
Description: bacterial SSU rRNA
Rfam family: Archaeal small subunit ribosomal RNA
Source: RNAcentral
CCGACGGUGAGGGGUGAAAGCUGGGGGAGCAAACCGGAUUAGAUACCCGGGUAGUCCCAGCUGUAAACUAUGCAAACUCAGUGAUGCAUUGGCUUGUGGCCAAUGCAGUGCUGCAGGGAAGCCGUUAAGUUUGCCGCCUGGGAAGUACGUACGCAAGUAUGAAACUUAAAGGAAUUGGCGGGGGAGCACCACAAGGGGUGAAGCCUGCGGUUCAAUUGGAGUCAACGCCAGAAAUCUUACCCGGAGAGACAGCAGAAUGAAGGUCAAGCUGAAGACUUUACCAGACAAGCUGAGAGGUGGUGCAUGGCCGUCGCCAGCUCGUGCCGUGAGAUGUCCUGUUAAGUCAGGUAACGAGCGAGAUCCCUGCCUCUAGUUGCCACCAUUACUCUCAGGAGUAGUGGGGCGAAUUAGCGGGACCGCCGCAGUUAAUGCGGAGGAAGGAAGGGGCCACGGCAGGUCAGUAUGCCCCGAAACUCUGGGGCCACACGCGGGCUGCAAUGGUAGCGACAAUUGGUUUCGAAUCCGAAAGGAUGAGGUAAUCCACAAACGCUACCACAGUUAUGACUGAGGGCUGCAACUCGCCCUCACGAAUAUGGAAUCCCUAGUAACUGCGUGUCAUUAUCGCGCGGUGAAUACGUCCCUGCUCCUUGCACACACCGCCCGU